ACACUUAAUGGCAGGAGAAAUACCGUGGUCAUGAAGGUGGUUUUCCUAGAGCAAGGCUCAUCAAUGCACGCUGGAUGCGCUGACCCCUGCAAUUUCCCCAAAUGUGAGAAACUCAACUGGCAUAAUUCGUGGUAGUGAGAGACUGUGUUUGCACUUUCCCCUG
Molecule: small nuclear RNA, 163 nt
Organism: Aotus nancymaae (Ma's night monkey)
Lineage: Eukaryota; Metazoa; Chordata; Mammalia; Primates; Aotidae
Gene: U1
Rfam family: U1 spliceosomal RNA
About the family: U1 is a small nuclear RNA (snRNA) component of the spliceosome (involved in pre-mRNA splicing).
Source: Ensembl